UGCCUGCAAGGAAAUGGUGUCUUCCUACUGAACCGUUCUUUCUUAAGAACUAAUGGCGCCUACAAAUUA
Molecule: non-coding RNA, 69 nt
Filed under: Sphingobacteriales bacterium
Lineage: Bacteria; Pseudomonadati; Bacteroidota; Sphingobacteriia; Sphingobacteriales
Description: Fluoride sequence
Rfam family: Fluoride riboswitch aptamer (crcB RNA motif)
Source: RNAcentral